Molecule: ribosomal RNA, 293 nt
Filed under: uncultured bacterium
Lineage: Bacteria
Description: partial 16S ribosomal RNA
Rfam family: Archaeal small subunit ribosomal RNA
Source: RNAcentral
GUGCCAGCCGCCGCGGUAAUACCGGCAGCCCGAGUGAUGGCCGAUCUUAUUGGGCCUAAAGCGUCCGUAGCUGGCCGAACAAGUCCGUCGGGAAAUCCACGUGCUUAACACGUGGGCGACCGGUGGAAACUGCUCGGCUUGGGACCGGAGGACCCGAGGGGUACGUCCGGGGUAGGAGUGAAAUCCUGUAAUCCCGGACGGACCGCCGGUGGCGAAAGCGCCUCGGGAGGACGGAUCCGACGGUGAGGGACGAAAGCCAGGGUCUCGAACCGGAUUAGAUACCCCAGUAGUCC